CGCGCAGCUACACAUGCAGUCGAGCGGGGGAGAUUGCUUCGGUAAUUGACCUAGCGGCGGACGGGUGAGUAAUACUUAGGAAUCUGCCUAUUAAUGGGGGACAACAUCUCGAAAGGGAUGCUAAUACCGCAUACGCCCUACGGGGGAAAGCAGGGGAUCACUUGUGACCUUGCGUUAAUAGAUGAGCCUAAGUCGGAUUAGCUAGUUGGUGGGGUAAAGGCCUACCAAGGCGACGAUCUGUAGCGGGUCUGAGAGGAUGAUCCGCCACACUGGGACUGAGACACGGCCCAGACUCCUACGGGAGGCAGCAGUGGGGAAUAUUGGACAAUGGGGGGAACCCUGAUCCAGCCAUGCCGCGUGUGUGAAGAAGGCCUUAUGGUUGUAAAGCACUUUAAGCGAGGAGGAGGCUCCUGUAGUUAAUACCUACAGUGAGUGGACGUUACUCGCAGAAUAAGCACCGGCUAACUCUGUGCCAGCAGCCGCGGUAAUACAGAGGGUGCGAGCGUUAAUCGGAUUUACUGGGCGUAAAGAGUGCGUAGGCGGCUUUUUAAGUCGGAUGUGAAAUACCCGAGCAUAUUUUGUGAGUAGCUUCCUCUUA
This 598-nucleotide ribosomal RNA is filed under the name Acinetobacter guillouiae. RNAcentral describes it as "bacterial SSU rRNA". It matches the Rfam family "Bacterial small subunit ribosomal RNA", at positions 43 to 636 of the family's 1533-position model. Lineage: Bacteria; Pseudomonadati; Pseudomonadota; Gammaproteobacteria; Moraxellales; Moraxellaceae. The record is from RNAcentral.